This 68-nucleotide transfer RNA is filed under the name Erinaceus europaeus (western European hedgehog). It matches the Rfam family "tRNA". From Rfam's summary of the family: Transfer RNA (tRNA) molecules are approximately 80 nucleotides in length. Their secondary structure includes four short double-helical elements and three loops (D, anti-codon, and T loops). Lineage: Eukaryota; Metazoa; Chordata; Mammalia; Eulipotyphla; Erinaceidae. The record is from Rfam by way of RNAcentral.
AGGGAAAUAGCUCAGUUGGUAGAGCAUCAGACUUAUGCCUGAAGUUCCAGGUUUGAAUCCUGGCACUA